GAUGGAUAGUGGGUGGAGAGGUGAUGGAUGGAUGGAUGGAUGGAUGAUAGAUAAUGGAUGGAGAGAUGAUGGAUAGUGGGUGGAGAGGUGAUGGAUGGAUGGAUGGAUGGAUGGAUGAUAGAUAAUGGAUGGAGAGAUGAUGGAUAGUGGGUGGAGAGGUGAUGGAUGGAUGGAUGGAUGGAUGGAUGAUAGAUAAUGGAUGGAGAGAUGAUGGAUAGUGGGUGGAGAGGUGAUGGAUGGAUGGAUGGAUGGAUGGAUGAUAGAUAAUGGAUGGAGAGAUGAUUGAUGGAUGGAUGAAUGGAUAGAUGGAUGCUAGAUAAUGGAUGGAUGGAUGGAUAGAUGAUGGAUAAUGGAUAGAGAGGUGAUGGAUGGAUGGAUGGAUGAUGGAUAAUGGAUAGAGAGGUGAUGGAUGGAUGGAUAGAUGGAUGAUAGAUAAUGAAUGGAGAGAUGAUGGAUAGAUGGAUGGAUGGAUGGAUGGAUGGGUAAUGGAUGGAGAGAUGAUGAUGGAUGAUGGAUGGGUAGAUGGAUGAUGGAUAAUGUAUUGAGAGAUGAUGGAUGGAUGGAUGGAUGGAUGUUGCAUAAUGGAUAGAUAGAUAAUGAAUGGAUGAAGGGUGGAGGGAUGGAUGAUGGAUAAUGGAUGGAGAGAUGAUGGAUGGUUGGAUGGAUGGGUGGAUGAUGGAUGGAAGGAUGAUAGAUGAUAGAUGGAGAGAUGAUGGAUGGAUGAUGGAUAAUAGAAGGAGAGAUGAUGGAUGGAUGAUGGAUAAUGAAUGGAGAGCUGAUGGAUGGAUGGAUGAUGGAUGGAUGAUGGAUGGGUGGUUUUCUAACUCAGAUCCCUCCCCCUCAAUUAAGUCUGUCACAGUUAUCUUCACUUAACCUCUGUCCUUGUUCUCUGUGACUUUAACAACCAUCUGGUUCCCUGGCCUCUGGAUUCCUUGUUCCCUUCCUGGCCUCCUCUCAGUUCUCUGGCCUCCAAACCUGGACAGACUCGUAGCUUCCGCCCACCUCAGGACCGCUCCUCCUGCCAGCAUGCCCACCACGACCACCGACUUCUAUGGAUGAGGCAGCGCCUUCUUGCUCCUGCUGGCUAACCAGGACUCCCCAGCCACACCUGAGAGCUGUCGCCACUUCUUCUCAGGGUCAACCCUGCUGGGCACAGCUCACCUCCUACUUCUCUGGCUGCCGUUUCUCAGUCAGCAGCAGCAGCUAUCCCAGGAUCUCUGAAUGUGGGCACUCCACUUCUCAGACUGUCCCUGAUGGCCCCGUGCAUGCCUGCCACUCCAAGGCCACCUGGGUUGGGGGCCCCGUAAGUGGGAGCACCACCUAGAGAGUGUGCUUCCUCCUGGACGGCACUUCAGCCCCACUCAGGGGUUCAGCCUCAUGGCAAACCAAGCUCUGCUUUUGGUCUUUCUUAUUUAUUUAUUGGUACCAGGAUCAAACCCAGGAGCACUUACCCACUGAACCACAUCCCCAGCCCCUUGUAUUUACUUAUUUA
This 1492-nucleotide long non-coding RNA is filed under the name Marmota monax (woodchuck). The record is from RNAcentral. Lineage: Eukaryota; Metazoa; Chordata; Mammalia; Rodentia; Sciuridae.